Molecule: long non-coding RNA, 260 nt
Filed under: Lathyrus oleraceus (garden pea)
Lineage: Eukaryota; Viridiplantae; Streptophyta; Magnoliopsida; Fabales; Fabaceae
Description: Pisum sativum (pea) long non-coding RNA (PSAT_LNC007042)
Source: RNAcentral
AAUUUUUCACCAAUAUAAUCUGUCGCGGCUGAAAAAUUUACAGAGUCGCUACCAUCUUUCAUUCGUUCCUAAGGAUCAGGAAAAUAAUGAUAAAACCUAAGGUUAAGGGUGAGACCCAGGGUUUGGGAGUCGAUAAGUGAUGGGAAGGUGUUAGACACUCAUCACCUCCAUUAUACUCAAUGAGAUCCUCCUCUGAAUCUAGGGUUAGUGUGUUCGUCUAAGGGAAGUUUGCUUAUGCCAUUUAUUCUUGCUUAAUCUAU